Rosa rugosa (rugosa rose) is the source of this 866-nucleotide long non-coding RNA. RefSeq lists it as uncharacterized. NCBI's taxonomy places the organism in Eukaryota, Viridiplantae, Streptophyta, Magnoliopsida, Rosales, Rosaceae. The record is from RefSeq and is a predicted model, not a curated record. The transcript has 5 exons.
GUUAGGGAUUUGGGGAACCUAAUUGGGUUGUACACAGAGUGACACUCUCAUUUGCUGCCCAAUUACUCAUUCGAUCAGUUUGUGCAUGAAGUGGAACAAGUGGUGGCCACAAAAAGAGUCAAGUGCAGCUGCCACAGAAACUGAGUAUAUCUGCCGUUGGUAAGCGUGAGAAACUUAUGCGUAUGAUCAAGAACCCUAUGACACAGUAUUUACCUGUUAACUCCCGGAAAGUAGGACUCUCGUACAGUUCAGAGAAACUAGUUAGCAUUCAAAAAUAUGUUGCUGCUGCUGAAAACAAUAUGGACCUUGUUUUUGUGGAGUAUGGUGCAUAGAAGAAGGGAAGCUUUGACAAGAUGCUUGCAGAUGAUAACACUCACAGGGUUCAUAUUCUUGCUCACAUUUGCGCUGCUUGGCUAUGUGAGUAAAACUUUUCUGCCUAGAUAUAUUCACCAAGGUUGGAUUCAACUCCUCUUAGAUGGGUCAAUUCUGCUCAUGGAUUGCUACUUUUCCUAUACCAGGUUUGCUUAAAUCAUGUUCAAUUUAUGUGUUUGCGGUGCGCCUCUUGUAUUAAUUAACAUAACAUUAUGUGUACAUUGGGAUUUCUCCAUUUUGUUAUUGCCUACUCAUUGGAUAAUUAUCAGGUAGCUCAAGACUAAAUAAUAAAGGUUCGAUGUUGGACAAGGAGUUCAGAAGUUCAAAGCGGGCGACAGAGUUGUAGCAUUUCACCAUGUGAGAAGAGCCUUUGCUUCAGAAUUGGAAUGAACAGAGGUAGUAGAAGAAAAUGCUUACAACUGAAGCUGCUCAAGGCACAAGGUUGUGUUGACUACUUGUUUCUAUGUAAUUAGUCAAGAUAAUGCAUUGAUGAC